UAAUUUCUUGGCAAACUCUGAGUGUGUGU
Molecule: non-coding RNA, 29 nt
Filed under: Rattus norvegicus (Norway rat)
Lineage: Eukaryota; Metazoa; Chordata; Mammalia; Rodentia; Muridae
Source: RNAcentral